ACGGAGGGUGCGAGCGUUGUCCGGAAUCACUGGGCGUAAAGGGCGCGUAGGCGGUUUCUCAAGCGCGUGGUGAAAGCCCGGGGCUCAACCCCGGGUCGGCCGUGCGAACUGGGAGACUCGAGCACUGUAGAGGCGGGUGGAAUUCCGGGUGUAGCGGUGGAAUGCGUAGAGAUCCGGAAGAACACCGGUGGCGAAGGCGGCCCGCUGGGCAGUCUGCUGACGCUGAGGCGCGACAGCGUGGGGAGCAAACAGGA
RNAcentral lists this ribosomal RNA (254 nucleotides) under uncultured prokaryote. Its description in RNAcentral is "partial 16S ribosomal RNA". It matches the Rfam family "Bacterial small subunit ribosomal RNA", at positions 525 to 777 of the family's 1533-position model. The record is from RNAcentral.